AACUCAGGGAACUGAAACAUCUAAGUACCUGAAGGAAGAGAAAGAAAUUCGAUUCCGUAAGUAGCGGCGAGCGAACGCGGAUUAGCCCAAACCAAUAAAGUUUUCUUUAUUGGGGUUGCGGACAUAUCAUAACGAAGAGGUAUCGUAAUUGAAGAGGUUUGGAAAGACCCACCACAGAAGGUAAUAGUCCUGUAUGUUAAACGAGAAGACUUUAGGUAUGAUCCAGAGUACCACGGGACACGUGAAACCCUGUGGGAAGCAGGAGGGACCACCCUCCAAGGCUAAAUACUACCUAGUGACCGAUAGCGUAUAGUACCGUGAGGGAAAGGUGAAAAGAACCCCGGGAGGGGAGUGAAAUAGAACCUGAAACCCUGCACUUACAAGCUGUGGAAGCACAUUUCUUGUGUGACCACGUACUUUUUGUAGAACGGGCCAACGAGUUACGUUAAGUAGCAAGGUUAAGCACUUAAGGUGCGGAGCCGUAGCGAAAGCGAGUUUUAACUGAGCGUUCAGUUACUUGACGUAGACCCGAAACCGGGCGACCUACCCAUGAGCAGGAUGAAGCGAAAGUAAAAUUUCGUGGAGGUCCGAACCCACGAGCG
This 602-nucleotide ribosomal RNA is filed under the name Clostridioides difficile. RNAcentral describes it as "bacterial LSU rRNA". It matches the Rfam family "Bacterial large subunit ribosomal RNA", at positions 181 to 788 of the family's 2925-position model. Lineage: Bacteria; Bacillati; Bacillota; Clostridia; Peptostreptococcales; Peptostreptococcaceae. The record is from RNAcentral.